Molecule: ribosomal RNA, 446 nt
Filed under: uncultured bacterium
Lineage: Bacteria
Description: partial 16S ribosomal RNA
Rfam family: Bacterial small subunit ribosomal RNA
Source: RNAcentral
CCUACGGGUGGCAGCAGUCGAGAAUCAUUCACAAUGGGGGAAACCCUGAUGGUGCGACGCCGCGUGGGGGAAUGAAGGUCUUCGGAUUGUAAACCCCUGUCAUGUGGGAGCAAAUUAAAAAGAUCGUACCACAAGAGGAAGAGACGGCUAACUCUGUGCCAGCAGCCGCGGUAAUACAGAGGUCUCAAGCGUUGUUCGGAAUCACUGGGCGUAAAGCGUGCGUAGGCUGUUUCGUAAGUCGUGUGUGAAAGGCGCGGGCUCAACCCGCGGACGGCACAUGAUACUGCGAGACUAGAGUAAGGGAGGGGGAACCGGAAUUCUCGGUGUAGCAGUGAAAUGCGUAGAUAUCGAGAGGAACACUCGUGGCGAAGGCGGGUUCCUGGACAGUAACUGACGCUGAGGCACGAAGGCCAGGGGAGCGAAAGGGAUUAGAUACCCGGGUAGUC